AGCAAGGGAUCGUGCACAAUGGGCGAAAGCCUGAUGCCGCGACGCCGCGUGAGGGAUGACGGCUUUCGAGUUGUAAACCUCUUUUCUCAGGGAAGAGAGAGGACAUCACCUGAGGAAUAAGUCAUGGCUAACUACGUGCCAGCAGCAGCGGUAAUACGUAGGUGGCAAGCGUUAUCCGGAAUUACUGGGCGUAAAGGGUCCGUAGGCGGUUUGGUAAGUCUUCUGUGAAAGCUCCAGGCUCAACUUGGAGUCGUCGGGAGAAACUGCUGAACUAGAGACUGUCAGAGGCAGGUGGAAUUCCCGGUGUAGUGGUGAAAUACGUAGAUAUCGGGAGGAACACCAGUGGCGAAAGCGGCCUGCUGGGGCAGUUCUGACGCUAAGGGACUAAAGCGUGGGGAGCGAACCGGAUUAGAUACCCGGGUAGUCCACGCCCUAAACGAUGAAUGCUAGGUCUUCGGGGUGUUAAUUCCCUGUGGGCCGAAGGUAACCCAUAAGC
RNAcentral lists this ribosomal RNA (496 nucleotides) under uncultured Chloroflexota bacterium. RNAcentral describes it as "bacterial SSU rRNA". It matches the Rfam family "Bacterial small subunit ribosomal RNA", at positions 353 to 865 of the family's 1533-position model. The record is from RNAcentral. Lineage: Bacteria; Bacillati; Chloroflexota.